GACAGGCCAGACUUAGUUGAGGACGACUACAUAGUUUGAACCUACUGCCUGAUGAUUACGCCACGCCUGAAAACAUUUUACCUAUGAGAAUCCCCCACCCCAAAAUGAACAUGGCAGACGUUAACUUGACUUUUGAAAUACAACAUAUGUAAAAAGGUAUCUAUAAUAGACGGGGAACGACGUAUAGAAAUUGUUGAUUGUCCUGGUCUGCAAGACGGUGAAGACGCAUCGGUAUUUGCCUUUGAACAGCUAAAAAGGGCAAUACUUGAGACACACCCUGGCUGCAAUGCAAUCUUCUCCAGAGAGAUUCAAUGAAAGCAUGGCAAAAACUGUUGACAAUUUCCUUAAGUUUGUCGGCGAUGACGUAAAGGAGUUUGCUUUUCUUGUGUUUAUCCACACAUCGGAAGAAAAUGAAUUAAACAAGUACUUAGCAGAUUUAAGGGAUCCCACUGAUGAAAAUAUGAAAGUAUUUAACAGGUUGAUUGAGAAAUGUGGAAACAAGAUCUUACAUAUCGACAAUAAAUUGAAAGGAUCAGGUAAAACACAACAGAUCAACAAAAUAUUGACGGAAGUAGACAACAACUUAAACCGAAUUCAAAAAACACAAUAUACAAAUCCGAUGUUCCAGGAAGCCGUUGCUGUAGCUGAGAAGUUGAUUCAGGAAAAAACUGAACACGAUCGUCAUAUAGAGCAGGCGAAAAAAGAAAAGAUCAGAGACGACGAGAGAAAGAAAUGUGAGCAAGAGUUCAAGAUUCAGCGCCGGUAUGAUACUUUCAAACAACGUCAAGCAGACAAAGCGAUCAAAGAUAAAGAGAAAAAUAAAUGUAAGCAAGAGUUCCAAAAUCAGCGACGAUAUGACAGAUUAGCAGAUUCGGUAUACGAUAAUAAGCUAGCUUACAUCGUGAAUCCUGUAGGCAGUUUUUCAAAUUAUUGGCUUACAUCCAAGCGUAGAUAUAAACACAAUAAAGGGAAAUCGAGGAAUUAAUUAGCAACGAUAUAAGGACAAUUUUGUCUACGUGGAUGUUUUGUUAGACACAUUAAUUCAAAUAGUCUUUUCGUCAUUCUUCCUGUUAUCGAAUUUGCAGGAUCUGGUUUUGACAUCAGUUAUCCAUAAGAUAUAAUUCAGUCCAACCCGAAAGCUAGUGUACCAAUGUAUAUAUAUAUACUGUGAAAUAAGUUGUUGAAGUAAGUAUCUAUCUGAACUAGAACUUCUGUUGUUGGUCAACAUAAGAGUUGGUAUGACGAUGACAGUUGCUCCAAUAUACCUUAUAUUCUAUGAAUUAUGUCAACCUUUUGGGUUGAUAUGACGUUGAUUAUGCCUAUGAUAUACACUAUCUUCUAGAAAUUAUGUUAUAAGUCAACUUAUGUAUUGAUAUGACUUUAAUUGUGACUAUGAUGUAGCUUAUAUUCUAGAAAUUAUGUUGUAAGUAAAAUUAUGGAUUGAUUUGACUUUGAUUAUGACUAUGAUGUAGCUUAUAUUCUAGAAAUUAUGUUGUAAGUCAACUUAUGUAUUGAAAUGACGUUGAUUAUGACUAUGAUGUACCUUAUAUUCUAGAAAUUAUGUUGUAAGUGAACGUAUGAAUUGAUAUGACUUUGAUUAUGACUAUGAUGUACUUUAUAUUCUAGAAACUAUUUUGUAAGUCAACUUUGAGAUAGACAUGACGUUGAUUAUGACUAUGAUGUAGCUUAUAUACAGGAAAUUAUGUUGUAAAGGGAAGGUUUGGGUGUAUAUGACGUUGAUUAUAACUAUGAUGUAGCUUAUAUUCUAAGCAUUAUGUUGUAAGUCAACUUUUUGAUUGAUAUGACGUUGAUUAUGACUAUGAUGUAGCUUAUAUACUAGAAAUUUUGUUGUUGGUCAACUUAUGGGUUGAUAUGACGUGAAUUAUGACUCCGAUAUAGCUAAUAUGCUAGACAUUAUGUUUAUUCACUUAUGAGUUGAUAUGACGUUGAAAUUGGCUCCGAUACUCAUUAUGCGCCAGCAAAAUGCAGUGAAUAAACGUAAUAAUUUA
Mya arenaria is the source of this 2009-nucleotide long non-coding RNA. RefSeq lists it as uncharacterized. The record is from RefSeq and is a predicted model, not a curated record. The transcript has 2 exons. NCBI's taxonomy places the organism in Eukaryota, Metazoa, Mollusca, Bivalvia, Myida, Myidae.